UCGGUCUAGGGUGGCUCUGAGCC
This 23-nucleotide non-coding RNA is filed under the name Gossypium hirsutum (cotton). The record is from RNAcentral. Lineage: Eukaryota; Viridiplantae; Streptophyta; Magnoliopsida; Malvales; Malvaceae.